AUGCGUAGGCGUUCUCUUAAGUUACUUGUAAAAUCUAACGGCUUAACUGUUAGCUCGCAAGUGAUACUGGGAGAAUUGAGGAUACUAGAGGAGAGGGGAACACCUGGUGGAGCGGUGAAAUGCGUUGAUAUCAGGUGGAACACCAACGGCGAAGGCGCCUCUCUGGGGUAUUCCUGACGCUAAGGCUCGAAAGCUAGGGUAGCAAAAC
RNAcentral lists this ribosomal RNA (208 nucleotides) under uncultured bacterium. RNAcentral's name for it is "partial 16S ribosomal RNA". It matches the Rfam family "Bacterial small subunit ribosomal RNA", at positions 567 to 774 of the family's 1533-position model. The record is from RNAcentral.